AGAGUUUGACCCUGGCUCAGGACGAACGCUGGCGGCGUGCCUAAUACAUGCAAGUAGAACGCUGAAGAGAGGAGCUUGCUCUUCUUGGAUGAGUUGCGAACGGGUGAGUAACGCGUAGGUAACCUGCCUUGUAGCGGGGGAUAACUAUUGGAAACGAUAGCUAAUACCGCAUAACAAUGGAUGACACAUGUCAUUUAUUUGAAAGGGGCAAUUGUUCCACUACAAGAUGGACCUGCGUUGUAUUAGCUAGUAGGUGAGGUAAUGGCUCACCUAGGCGACGAUACAUAGCCGACCUGAGAGGGUGAUCGGCCACACUGGGACUGAGACACGGCCCAGACUCCUACGGGAGGCAGCAGUAGGGAAUCUUCGGCAAUGGGGGCAACCCUGACCGAGCAACGCCGCGUGAGUGAAGAAGGUUUUCGGAUCGUAAAGCUCUGUUGUAAGUCAAGAACGGGUGUGAGAGUGGAAAGUUCACACUGUGACGGUAGCUUACCAGAAAGGGACGGCUAACUACGUGCCAGCAGCCGCGGUAAUACGUAGGUCCCGAGCGUUGUCCGGAUUUAUUGGGCGUAAAGCGAGCGCAGGCGGUUUGAUAAGUCUGAAGUUAAAGGCUGUGGCUCAACCAUAGUUCGCUUUGGAAACUGUCAAACUUGAGUGCAGAAGGGGAGAGUGGAAUUCCAUGUGUAGCGGUGAAAUGCGUAGAUAUAUGGAGGAACACCGGUGGCGAAAGCGGCUCUCUGGUCUGUAACUGACGCUGAGGCUCGAAAGCGUGGGGAGCGAACAGGAUUAGAUACCCUGGUAGUCCACGCCGUAAACGAUGAGUGCUAGGUGUUGGAUCCUUUCCGGGAUUCAGUGCCGCAGCUAACGCAUUAAGCACUCCGCCUGGGGAGUACGACCGCAAGGUUGAAACUCAAAGGAAUUGACGGGGGCCCGCACAAGCGGUGGAGCAUGUGGUUUAAUUCGAAGCAACGCGAAGAACCUUACCAGGUCUUGACAUCCCGAUGCUAUUUCUAGAGAUAGAAAGUUACUUCGGUACAUCGGUGACAGGUGGUGCAUGGUUGUCGUCAGCUCGUGUCGUGAGAUGUUGGGUUAAGUCCCGCAACGAGCGCAACCCCUAUUGUUAGUUGCCAUCAUUCAGUUGGGCACUCUAGCGAGACUGCCGGUAAUAAACCGGAGGAAGGUGGGGAUGACGUCAAAUCAUCAUGCCCCUUAUGACCUGGGCUACACACGUGCUACAAUGGUUGGUACAACGAGUUGCGAGUCGGUGACGGCGAGCUAAUCUCUUAAAGCCAAUCUCAGUUCGGAUUGUAGGCUGCAACUCGCCUACAUGAAGUCGGAAUCGCUAGUAAUCGCGGAUCAGCACGCCGCGGUGAAUACGUUCCCGGGCCUUGUACACACCGCCCGUCACACCACGAGAGUUUGUAACACCCGAAGUCGGUGAGGUAACCUUUUGGAGCCAGCCGCCUAAGGUGGGACAGAUGAUUGGGGUGAAGUCGUAACAAGGUA
RNAcentral lists this ribosomal RNA (1506 nucleotides) under metagenome. RNAcentral's name for it is "bacterial SSU rRNA". It matches the Rfam family "Bacterial small subunit ribosomal RNA". The record is from RNAcentral.